AUUGAACGCUGGCGGCAGGCCUAACACAUGCAAGUCGAGCGGAGCGGCGGCGGGGAGAGUAAUGCCUAGGAAUCUGCCUGGUCGUGGGGGAUAACGUCCGGAAACGGGCGCUAAUACCGCAACCUAUCAGAUGAGCCUAGGUCGGAUUAGCUAGUUGGUGGGGUAAAGGCCUACCCUGGCGACGACCCGUAACUGGUCUGAGAGGAUGAUCAGUCACACUGGAACUGAGACACGGUCCAGACUCCUACGGGAGGCAGCAGUGGGGAAUAUUGGACAAUGGGCGACAGCCUGAUCCAUCCAUGCCGCGUGUGUGAAGAAGGUCUUCGGAUUGUAAAGCACUUUAAGUUGGGAGGCGUUACCAACAGAAUAAGCACCGGCUAACUUCGUGCCAGCCGCCGCGGUAAUUC
This 407-nucleotide ribosomal RNA is filed under the name uncultured bacterium. RNAcentral's name for it is "partial 16S ribosomal RNA". It matches the Rfam family "Bacterial small subunit ribosomal RNA", at positions 30 to 526 of the family's 1533-position model. The record is from RNAcentral.